Long non-coding RNA from Phyllostomus hastatus (greater spear-nosed bat), 1008 nucleotides. RefSeq lists it as uncharacterized. The transcript has 3 exons. Lineage: Eukaryota; Metazoa; Chordata; Mammalia; Chiroptera; Phyllostomidae. The record is from RefSeq and is a predicted model, not a curated record.
GGAAUUUUAGGGAAGAGGAUGCUACAAAAUCAAAGAGCUGAGGCUCAUAGUUAUUACUGAUGAGUAAGAAUGGCAACUGCUGUUUUCAAAAGUUGGGUCUUGUUUUUGCCUCUUCACUGAGGUCUCCCAGAUAGGGCUUCAGGGCCUGAGUCAAUGACACACCAUUCCGACAACAUGCUGGCAAAGGCUUCUUUGGGCUUUCAGUCAGGCUGAUGCAGGCUGCCAGCUCCAUCUCCUUUUAACGCUAAUUAGCUAAUGGCCCGAUGCGCUGAAGUGCAGGAAAUGAAAGGGAGUCGGUCCUGACAUUCAAAUGCUGUAACUGGGGGAACAUUAGCCUGCAGCUCACCGUUCCUAACAGCUCACUGCCUUCCCAUUCGGGCUCGGGCAGCCAGGCAGUGGUCUCCUGUCACUAGUCUCAAACGGACACAUUCAAACUCUCCCAAGAGACAGCCUUGGCAGCCUCGAGAUUUCUGCAGAGAGGGCCCGGUAAAAGCUGGAAUGCCCAACUCAGCAUCUAGCAUAGAGACUGAGUCACUUUUGCAGAGGCCAAAGAAACAACAGUAUAGACGGUCCUGAUGAUCACGAGCUACAUAUUGUUACUUCUGAACUCUCACUGGGAAGUAAACCAUUUGAAGAGUGUUUAAAAAAACUCAACAUCAUGAGUCACACACAUUCACAUAACUGAGGACAAACAGAAACAAUCCAAACAUCUGUCAACAGAAGAAUGGCUAAUAGACUAAGGCAGCAUGGAAUGAACCAAAGGGAUCCUUCUAAGAGUUCCACAAUUAGCAGACCCACUCUACAAACCAUUGGUAAGCACAUCUAGCAUAAUCCUAAGAGCAACCUCUGUCUGUUGAAGAGCUCAGCCCUCCACGUUGCUUCUGGCCCCCACCUCCUCCUCAACCCUGUGAGCUGUGGGGAGGGCCCAGCAGAGGCAGCAGCGUGAUGACUGGCCUUCUGAGUGGAAGUCCCACCCCACCCUUUGCGGGUGUGGAGCUCGACAACAGG